Molecule: ribosomal RNA, 253 nt
Filed under: uncultured bacterium
Lineage: Bacteria
Description: partial 16S ribosomal RNA
Rfam family: Bacterial small subunit ribosomal RNA
Source: RNAcentral
UACGUAGGGGGCAAGCGUUGUCCGGAAUUAUUGGGCGUAAAGCGCGCGCAGGUGGUUCUUUAAGUCUGAUGUGAAAGCCCACGGCUCAACCGUGGAGGGUCAUUGGAAACUGGGGAACUUGAGUGCAGAAGAGGAUAGUGGAAUUCCAAGUGUAGCGGUGAAAUGCGUAGAGAUUUGGAGGAACACCAGUGGCGAAGGCGACUAUCUGGUCUGUAACUGACACUGAGGCGCGAAAGCGUGGGGAGCAAACAGG